AGACCUUGGCAGAGAGCGCCCUGGGAAAUGCGGAUAUAGAAGGUCAGGAGAACAUCUCUCCUGGUUAUACAGCAUUCCAGGACUCCUCAUCUGUUUUUAAGAGGGAAAUCUGAGUUUUCAAGGAAAGCCGAAUACAGUUGCCAAGUUGCCAGUCAAAGAAACAAUGUCAACACCUGCUCAUAGAGAUGGAAUUCCUAACCCGGAAUAUUGCCCUUGAAUUACAACGAGAAAAAGCACCUCUUCAAGUGAGAUGGCAGACCACCUCAGGAUGGAAAUGUAUUUCUUCAUCCCCCUCUCUACUUCCCUGUGACCUCCUGCAAAUAAGGGAGAGACAAAGAGAAGAGCAGAAGAACAGAAGAAUGGAGUGGCAAAGAGAAGAGAAGGAGUGACUGAACAUUGACAAGACUUUGGUUGGGGAUGGUCAGAGAGGAGAUUAGCUGCUAGACGGCCACACUGCGGAGAAAGAUCAUUUUCCCACUCCAUCCCCCUUCCAGCUCCCCAUCCAUCUCACCAAGAGCCAGCUCCACCACUCAAUAAAACCUUACAUUCAUCUUUCAA
Molecule: long non-coding RNA, 558 nt
Filed under: Homo sapiens (human)
Lineage: Eukaryota; Metazoa; Chordata; Mammalia; Primates; Hominidae
Description: non-protein coding lnc-USP6NL-7:15
Source: RNAcentral